UUCACAGCCCUGGACAAUGAAAACCUCUAAUUAUCCACAGAACAGGCAGCAGCAAUGCAAACUUCCCAAAGUGCCUCUACUCUGACCAGGGGGAUGAGGGGGGAGUUCAGCAGGAGUGACCCAUUCAGUCCUUGGCCCGU
RNAcentral lists this small RNA (140 nucleotides) under Crocodylus porosus (Australian saltwater crocodile). RNAcentral describes it as "TUC338 (ENSCPRG00005009832.1)". Lineage: Eukaryota; Metazoa; Chordata; Crocodylia; Crocodylidae. The record is from RNAcentral.